AAACACAUGCGUACGAUCACCGAAGUUAAGCAACGUCGGACCUGGUCAGUACCUAGAUGGGUGACAACUUGGGAAUACCAGGUGCUGUAAG
Molecule: ribosomal RNA, 91 nt
Filed under: Acanthosepion pharaonis
Lineage: Eukaryota; Metazoa; Mollusca; Cephalopoda; Sepiida; Sepiidae
Source: RNAcentral